CCUACGGGAGGCAGCAGUGAGGAAUAUUGGUCAAUGGACGAGAGUCUGAACCAGCCAAGUAGCGUGAAGGAUGACUGCCCUAUGGGCUGUAAACUUCUUUUAUAUGGGAAUAAAAUGUUCCACGUGUGGGACUUUGUAUGUACCAUAUGAGUAAGGAUCGGCUAACUCCGUGCCAGCAGCCGCGGUAAUACGGAGGAUCCGAGCGUUAUCCGGAUUUAUUGGGUUUAAAGGGAGCGUAGGUGGUUUGUUAAGUCAGUUGUGAAAGUUUGCGGCUCAACCGUAAAAUUGCAGUUGAAACUGGCAGUCUUGAGUACAGUAGAGGUGAGCGGAAUUCGUGGUGUAGCAGUGAAAUGCGUAGAUAUCGCGAAGAACUCCAGUGGCGAAGGCAGCUCACUGGACUGCAACUGACACUGAGGCUCGAAAGUGUGGGUAUCAAACAGGAUUAGAUACCCGAGUAGUC
Molecule: ribosomal RNA, 460 nt
Filed under: uncultured bacterium
Lineage: Bacteria
Description: partial 16S ribosomal RNA
Rfam family: Bacterial small subunit ribosomal RNA
Source: RNAcentral